Molecule: long non-coding RNA, 867 nt
Organism: Andrographis paniculata
Lineage: Eukaryota; Viridiplantae; Streptophyta; Magnoliopsida; Lamiales; Acanthaceae
Exons: 2
Source: RefSeq, a predicted model, not a curated record
GUGAACCAGCGGUGAUGGCAAGCAGCGCGGUGACUGCGAGCGAAGCAGCGUCAAUGUCUCUGUGUGCGAAGCGGCGUCAAUGUCUCCGUGUACGAGCUGUGUGCAAGCGAAGCGGCGAAAACAAGCGGGAGAAGUGAGCGGGCCUGGCGCAAGUGGAGCUGCAAUUAUACAAGCAGAGUCGAUCUUCUAUUUUUCCUUCAAUUGAAGUGAGACGCUGAACCCUAUCCCUAUCGUCUUCUUCACCCAAUUUAGGGCAAAACUCAGAAUCAAUUUCUAAAAUCCUAAAUGCUCCACAAGUGAAGAAUCCCUGCGCAAAAUUGAUUCCCAAUUUUGUAAGAAGAAUUUCAAAGCUCUUCAUAAUAGGUCAAGAACGGGCCUGGCUGCUGGUGGUUGCAAAAUCUGAAUUUAGAUUCAUUCGGUGGUGAAUUGACGCUGAGGAGGAGGCUGCUUUGAAAAUUCCGAAGCAAGAACGACUUAUGUAACUUUGAAAAGGGAGUUUUACUGUCUUUUAUCUCUUGAAUUCUUUGACAAAUAAUGUGACUUUAUCUCAUCUUUCGCUGCUGAAAAUAAUGCUUGUUUUGAUUGCAGUCCCUCCCGAGCUUACUCAAGGUUGUUCAAGGGCAAACAACAAUUCAAGUGUGAGGAGGGAAGUCAUCGGCACCACCAAAAAUUUUGAAAAAAUCUGGCUGCAAGAUAUGAAUCAGGGAAGUUUUUUAUUCCCUUAUCGAUUAUUUAUGCCGGCUUAUUAAUUGAUUGCUAAUUUGUUGGUUUGUAGAAUAAUUGCUUCUGUAGUUACAAAUCUAGUUGAUUAGGAUAAUUUUCAGAUUAAUGGUGUAGAAGCUGUGUAAUAUAUUAGUUUGUUGUUGU